Molecule: long non-coding RNA, 542 nt
Filed under: Pongo abelii (Sumatran orangutan)
Lineage: Eukaryota; Metazoa; Chordata; Mammalia; Primates; Hominidae
Description: lincRNA
Source: RNAcentral
UACAAGGUAGCCAUUUGGCGUUGGGAGUAUGUGCCAAAUCUACUAGACAUUGGAGAAACAGUAGGAACAACACCUGGUAGCGGCACAUGGAUCUUUCAGGAAAAUGAAGUAGGUAAUAAACAGGAAAAAGCCCGAAUCUGAUGCUAAGAAGAACAUAAACAGGAUGCUGAGAGAUUGGGUCUCUCCACAUUGCCUAGGCUGCUCUCCAACUUCUGAGCUCAAGUGAUCCACCUCCCUUGGCCUCCCAAAGUACUAGGAUUACAGGCGUGAGCCACCGUGCCUGGCUGAGAAGAUGGAUUUAAGACAUGUUUUGGAGCGGAAAGUGAGCAGAAGAGGUGUGCAGUUUCCAGGCCUGGCCCAUACAGACCUCCAACAGGUGUUCCCCUGUGCUCUUACUCCUUCUGCCAACUGGAAGCAGAUGGUGACAGGCUCUGGAGAAGGCAAGGCCUGAAGAUGGGAGAUUCCUAAGUGGAGGAGAACUGUGCCUUACUGACCUAAAUAUCCACUCAGUAUUGUUAUGUGAGAAUAAAUAAACUUGUGUU